This 63-nucleotide microRNA precursor is filed under the name Cinara cedri. The record is from RNAcentral. Lineage: Eukaryota; Metazoa; Arthropoda; Insecta; Hemiptera; Aphididae.
AAAUUGGAGGUGUAGGGAAGGGUAAUAAAUCUCACAUCUAUUACCCUUCCCUGCUCCUCCUGU